This 630-nucleotide long non-coding RNA is filed under the name Coffea arabica (coffee). RNAcentral describes it as "long non-coding RNA (CARA_LNC005292)". The record is from RNAcentral. Lineage: Eukaryota; Viridiplantae; Streptophyta; Magnoliopsida; Gentianales; Rubiaceae.
AAAAUAACCGUUGGUUGAGGAGAGUAAAGGCAUUUACUCCUGAACACAGCACAAAGGCUAGAAGUGCUCCUCUAUUCGGGCCUCUCUUCGCCAUUUUCAUCUGCCAACAGACGGGAAAGACAGCUGCAAUCAAACCCAGCUUGCAGAGACGUCCGGCAAACAAGAUCCUUGACUGAAGUUUUGAAUCUAUCGGACGCAUUUCACCCUGCCGCGGUCGACGCUUCCAACACCCAAACGGAAUUUCUUGCUCCGAGCCCAUUCCACUUUCUCCCUAUCUACAGCGGCAGGUACAAUUCCCUCGAUUUUCUGGAUUUAGCUGCAAUUUACAUUCCAUAAACCUGCGUUGAUCUGUCUUUCUAGUUGUCCACGGCUUCAUCAGCUGAUUAUCUCCCUUGGACACCUGAUUUUGUGUUGGCUGUGUGCGAAGAGUAGAUUUCGUUUAUGGUAGAUUAAAAUGUACUUAGGAUUAAUUGAACCCGAAUCUGAAUGAAUGGUGGAAUAAAGCUGCUCUGGCCUUUCAAAUUGGGAGGUUAUGAGCAUUAAAACUGGAUUAACUGGAUAUAUUGCAAGCAGGGAGAUUUAUUGUCUUUGGGCUUUUUUCUUAUCAUGGAAAGAAAAUUUAAUGGGGAA